AGCCCCGUAGUGUAGCGGUCAAUCAUUGAAGACUCUGGAUCUUUAGACUCCAGUUCGAAUCUGGACGGGGCUA
Molecule: transfer RNA, 73 nt
Filed under: Thermoplasmatales archaeon
Lineage: Archaea; Methanobacteriati; Thermoplasmatota; Thermoplasmata; Thermoplasmatales
Description: tRNA-Gln
Rfam family: tRNA
About the family: Transfer RNA (tRNA) molecules are approximately 80 nucleotides in length.
Source: RNAcentral